GGGUUGUGAGGUUAAGCGACUAAGCGUACACGGUGGAUGCCCUGGCAGUCAGAGGCGAUGAAGGACGUGCUAAUCUGCGAAAAGCGUCGGUAAGGUGAUAUGAACCGUUAUAACCGGCGAUGUCCGAAUGGGGAAACCCAGUGCAAUUCGUUGCACUAUCGUUAACUGAAUACAUAGGUUAACGAGGCGAACCGGGGGAACUGAAACAUCUAAGUACCCCGAGGAAAAGAAAUCAACCGAGAUUCCCCCAGUAGCGGCGAGCGAACGGGGAGCAGCCCAGAGUCUGAAUCAGCUUGUGUGUUAGUGGAACGGUCUGGAAAGUCCGACGGUACAGGGUGAUAGUCCCGUACACCAAAAUGCACAGGUUGUGAACUCGAAGAGUAGGGCGGGACACGUGGUAUCCUGUCUGAAUAUGGGGGGACCAUCCUCCAAGGCUAAAUACUCCUGACUGACCGAUAGUGAACCAGUACCGUGAGGGAAAGGCGAAAAGAACCCCGGCGAGGGGAGUGAAAAAGAACCUGAAACCGUGUACGUACAAGCAGUGGGAGCACCUUUAUGGUGUGACUGCGUACCUUUUGUAUAAUGGGUCAGCGACUUAUAUUCUGUAGCAAGGUUAACCGUAUAGGGGAGCCGCAGGGAAACCGAGUCUUAACUGGGCGUUAAGUUGCAGGGUAUAGACCCGAAACCCGGUGAUCUAGCCAUGGGCAGGUUGAAGGUUGGGUAACACUAACUGGAGGACCGAACCGACUAAUGUUGAAAAAUUAGCGGAUGACUUGUGGCUGGGGGUGAAAGGCCAAUCAAACCGGGAGAUAGCUGGUUCUCCCCGAAAGCUAUUUAGGUAGCGCCUCGUGAACUCAUCUUCGGGGGUAGAGCACUGUUUCGGCUAGGGGGUCAUCCCGACUUACCAACCCGAUGCAAACUACGAAUACCGAAGAAUGUUAUCACGGGAGACACACGGCGGGUGCUAACGUCCGUCGUGAAGAGGGAAACAACCCAGACCGCCAGCUAAGGUCCCAAAGUCAUGGUUAAGUGGGAAACGAUGUGGGAAGGCACAGACAGCCAGGAUGUUGGCUUAGAAGCAGCCAUCAUUUAAAGAAAGCGUAAUAGCUCACUGGUCGAGUCGGCCUGCGCGGAAGAUGUAACGGGGCUAAACCAUGCACCGAAGCUGCGGCAGCGACGCUCAGGCGUUGUUGGGUAGGGGAGCGUUCUGUAAGCCUGCGAAGGUGGCCUGUGAGGGUUGCUGGAGGUAUCAGAAGUGCGAAUGCUGACAUAAGUAACGAUAAAGCGGGUGAAAAGCCCGCUCGCCGGAAGACCAAGGGUUCCUGUCCAACGUUAAUCGGGGCAGGGUGAGUCGACCCCUAAGGCGAGGCCGAAAGGCGUAGUCGAUGGGAAACAGGUUAAUAUUCCUGUACUUGGUGUUACUGCGAAGGGGGGACGGAGAAGGCUAUGUUAGCCGGGCGACGGUUGUCCCGGUUUAAGCAUGUAGGCUGGUUAUCCAGGCAAAUCCGGAUAAUCAAGGCUGAGGUGUGAUGACGAGGCACUACGGUGCUGAAGUAACAAAUGCCCUGCUUCCAGGAAAAGCCUCUAAGCAUCAGGUAACAUCAAAUCGUACCCCAAACCGACACAGGUGGUCAGGUAGAGAAUACCAAGGCGCUUGAGAGAACUCGGGUGAAGGAACUAGGCAAAAUGGUGCCGUAACUUCGGGAGAAGGCACGCUGGUGUGUAGGUGAAGUCCCUGCGGAUGGAGCUGAGACCAGUCGAAGAUACCAGCUGGCUGCAACUGUUUAUUAAAAACACAGCACUGUGCAAACACGAAAGUGGACGUAUACGGUGUGACGCCUGCCCGGUGCCGGAAGGUUAAUUGAUGGGGUUAUCCGUAAGGAGAAGCUCUUGAUCGAAGCCCCGGUAAACGGCGGCCGUAACUAUAACGGUCCUAAGGUAGCGAAAUUCCUUGUCGGGUAAGUUCCGACCUGCACGAAUGGCGUAAUGAUGGCCAGGCUGUCUCCACCCGAGACUCAGUGAAAUUGAACUCGCUGUGAAGAUGCAGUGUACCCGCGGCAAGACGGAAAGACCCCGUGAACCUUUACUAUAGCUUGACACUGAACAUUGAGCCUUGAUGUGUAGGAUAGGUGGGAGGCUUUGAAGCGUGGACGCCAGUCUGCGUGGAGCCAACCUUGAAAUACCACCCUUUAAUGUUUGAUGUUCUAACGUGGGCCCCUUAUCGGGGUUGCGGACAGUGUCUGGUGGGUAGUUUGACUGGGGCGGUCUCCUCCCAAAGCGUAACGGAGGAGCACGAAGGUUAGCUAAUCCUGGUCGGACAUCAGGAGGUUAGUGCAAUGGCAUAAGCUAGCUUGACUGCGAGCGUGACGGCGCGAGCAGGUGCGAAAGCAGGUCAUAGUGAUCCGGUGGUUCUGAAUGGAAGGGCCAUCGCUCAACGGAUAAAAGGUACUCCGGGGAUAACAGGCUGAUACCGCCCAAGAGUUCAUAUCGACGGCGGUGUUUGGCACCUCGAUGUCGGCUCAUCACAUCCUGGGGCUGAAGUAGGUCCCAAGGGUAUGGCUGUUCGCCAUUUAAAGUGGUACGCGAGCUGGGUUUAGAACGUCGUGAGACAGUUCGGUCCCUAUCUGCCGUGGGCGCUGGAGAAUUGAGGGGGGCUGCUCCUAGUACGAGAGGACCGGAGUGGACGCAUCACUGGUGUUCGGGUUGUCAUGCCAAUGGCACUGCCCGGUAGCUAAAUGCGGAAGAGAUAAGUGCUGAAAGCAUCUAAGCACGAAACUUGCCCCGAGAUGAGUUCUCCCUGAGACU
Molecule: ribosomal RNA, 2805 nt
Filed under: Klebsiella quasipneumoniae
Lineage: Bacteria; Pseudomonadati; Pseudomonadota; Gammaproteobacteria; Enterobacterales; Enterobacteriaceae
Description: bacterial LSU rRNA
Rfam family: Bacterial large subunit ribosomal RNA
Source: RNAcentral